AGUUCCUACAAAGGUUUUGGACAGUGAUUUUAAACCUAACGCCAAAACGUUAAACCUUACCAUAGCCCCAUAACCUAAUACCCGGGUAUUACUUUUAGGAAGCCUGAACACCCCAAAUAUUUUUUUUUCAUUUUUCUUUUUUUUUUGGUCUAACUAACUCCAAAAGGUUGGAAAAGAGUUCCUACAAAGGUUUUGGACAGUGAUUUUAACCCUAACGCCAAAACCCUUAAACCUUUCCCUAGUCCCAAAACCUAAUACACGGGUAUUACUUUCAGGGAGCCCGAAAACCCCCAAUAAUAUAUUUUUUUUUUUCUUAUUUUUUGGUCUAACUAACUCCAAAAGGUUGGAAAAGAGUUCCUACAAAGGUUUUGGACAGUGAUUUUAACCCUAACGCCAAAAACCUUAAACCUUACCCUAUGCCUUGAAAUCUAAUACCCGGGUAUUACCUUCAGGAAGCCUGAACACCCCAAAUAUUUUUUUCUUCAUUUUACAUUUUUGUUGGUGUAACCAACUCCAAAAGGUUGGAAAAGAGUUCCUACAAAUGUUUUGGACAGUGAUUUUAACCCUAAUGCCCAAAAACUUAAUCCUUACCCUAGCCUCAAAAUCUAAUACCCGGGUAUUACAUUCAGGAACCCCGAAAACCCCAAAUAUUGUUUUUUAAUUUUUCAUUUUUUUUUGGUCUAACUAACUCCAAAAGGUUGGAAAAGAGUUCCUACAAAGGUUUUGGACAGUGAUUUUAACCCUAACGCCAAAAAACUUAAACCUUACCCAUAGCCCCAUAACCUAAUACCCGGGUAUUACUUUUAGGAAGCCUGAACACCCCAAAUAUUUUUUUUUCAUUUUUCUUUUUUUUUGGUCUAACCAACUCCAAAAGGUUGGAAAAGAGUUCCUACAAAGGUUUUGGACAGUGAUUUUAACCCUAACGCCAAAAAACUUAAACCUUACCCUGGCCUUAAAAUCUAAUACCCGGGUAUUACAUUCAGGAAGCCCGAACACCCCAAAUAUUUUUUUUUUCAUUUUACAUUUUUUUUGGUGUAACCAACUCCAAAAGGUUGGAAAAGAGUUCCUACAAAGGUUUUGGACAGUGAUUUUAACCCUAACGCCAAAAAACUUAAACCUUUCCAUAGCCCCAUAACCUAAUACCCAGGUAUUACUUUUAGGAAGCCUGAACACCCCAAAUAUUUUUUUUUUCAUUUUUCUUUUUUUUUUGGUCUAACUAACUCCAAAAGGUUGGAAAAGAGUUCCUACAAAGGUUUUGGACAGUGAUUUUAACCCUAACGCCAAAAACCUUAAACCUUACCCUGGCCUUAAAAUCUAAUACCCGGGUAUUACAUUCAGGAAGCCCUAACACCCCAAAUAUUUUUUUUUUUCAUUUUUCUUUUUUUUUUUGGUCUAACUAACUCCAAAAGGUUGGAAAAGAGUUCCUACAAAGGUUUUGGACAGUGAUUUUAACCCUAACGCCAAAAACCUUAAACCUUACCCUAGCCCCAUAACCUAAUACCCGGGUAUUACUUUUAGGAAGCCUGAACACCCCAAAUAUUUUUUUUUCAUUUUUCUUUUUUUUUUUGGUCUAACUAACUCCAAAGGUUGGAAAAGAGUUCCUACAAAGGUUUUGGACAGUGAUUUUAACCCUAACGCCAAAAACCUUAAACCUUUCCCUAGUCCCAAAACCUAAUACACGGGUAUUACUUUCAGGGAGCCCGAAAACCCCCAAUAAUAUUUUUUUCUUUUUUCAUAUUUUUUGGUCUAACUAACUCCAAAAGGUUGGAAAAGAGUUCCUACAAAGGUUUUGGACAGUGAUUUUAACCCUAACGCCAAAAACCUUAAACCUUACCCUAGCCUUAAAUCUAAUACCCGGGUAUUACUUCAGGAAGCCUGAACACCCCAAAUAUUUUUUUUUCAUUUUUCAUUUUUUUUGGUCUAACUAACUCCAAAAGGUUGGAAAAGAGUUCCUACAAAGGUUUUGGACAGUGAUUUUAACCCUAACGCCAAAAAACUUAAACCUUACCCAUAGCCCCAUAACCUAAUACCCGGGUAUUACUUUUAGGAAGCCUGAACACCCCAAAUAUUUUUUUUUCAUUUUUCUUUUUUUUUUUGGUCUAACCAACUCCAAAAGGUUGGAAAAGUGUUCCUACAAAGGUUUUGGACAGUGAUUUUAACCCUAACGCCAAAAAACUUAAACCUUACCCUGGCCUUAAAAUCUAAUACCAGGGUAUUACUUUCAGGAAGCCCGAACACCCCAAAUAUUUUUUUUUUUUUCAUUUUACAUUUUUUUUGGUGUAACCAACUCCAAAAGGUUGGAAAAGAGUUCCUACAAAGGUUUUGGACAGUGAUUUUAACCCUAACGCCAAAAAACUUAAACCUUACCAUAGCCCCAAAACCUAAUACCCGGGUAUUACUUUCAGGGAGCCCGAAAACCCCCAAUAAUAUUUUUUUCUUUUUUCAUAUUUUUUUUUGGUCUAACUAACUCCAAAAGGUUGGAAAAGAGUUCCUACAAAGGUUUUGGACAGUGAUUUUAACCCUAACGCCAAAAAACUUAAACCUUACCCAUAGCCCCAUAACCUAAUACCCGGGUAUUACUUUUAGGAAGCCUGAACACCCCAAAUAUUUUUUUUUUAAUUUUUCUUUUUUUUGGUCUAACCAACUCCAAAAGGUUGGAAAAGAGUUCCUACAAAGGUUUUGGACAGUGAUUUUAACCCUAACGCCAAAAAACUUAAACCUUACCCUAGCCUUAAAAUCUAAUACCCGGGUAUUACAUUCAGGAAGCCCGAACACCCCAAAUAUUUUUUUUUCAUUUUACAUUUUUUUUGGUCUAACUAACUCCAAAAGGUUGGAAAAGAGUUCCUACAAAGGUUUUGGACAGUGAUUUUAACCCUAACGCCAAAAACCUUAAACCUUACCAUAGCCCCAUAACCUAAUACCCGGGUAUUACUUUUAGGAAGCCUGAACACCCCAAAUAUUUUUUUUUCAUUUUUCUUUUUUUUUGGUCUAACUAACUCCAAAAGGUUGGAAAAGAGUUCCUACAAAGGUUUUGGACAGUGAUUUUAACCCUAACGCCAAAAAACUUAAACCUUACCCUAGCCUUAAAAUCUAAUACCCGGGUAUUACUUUCAGGAAGCCCGAAACCCCAAAUAUUUUUUUUUUAUUUUUCAUUUUUUUUUGGUCUAACUAACUCCAAAAGGUUGGAAAAGAGUUCCUACAAAGGUUUUGGACAGUGAUUUUAACCCUAACGCCAAAAACCUUAAACCUUACCCUAGCCCCCUAACCUAAUACCUGGGUAUUACUUUUAGGAAGCCUGAACACCCCAAAUAUUUUUUUUUCAUUUUUCUUUUUUUUUUUUGGUCUAACUAACUCCAAAAGGUUGGAAAAGAGUUCCUACAAAGGUUUUGGACAGUGAUUUUAACCCUAACGCCAAAAACCUUAAACCUUUCCCCAGUCACAAAACCUAAUACCCGGGUAUUACUUUCAGGGAGCCCGAAAACCCCCAAUAAUAUUUUUUUCAUUUUUCUUUUUUUUUUGGUCUAACUAACUCCAAAAGGUUGGAAAAGAGUUCCUACAAAGGUUUUGGACAGUGAUUUUAACCCUAACGCCAAAAACCUUAAACCUUACCCUAGCCUUAAAUCUAAUACCCGGGUAUUACUUCAGGAAGCCUGAACACCCCAAAUAUUUUUUUUUCAUUUUUCAUUUUUUUGGUCUAACUAACUCCAAAAGGUUGGAAAAGAGUUCCUACAAAGGUUUUGGACAGUGAUUUUAACCCUAACGCCAAAAACCUUAAACCUUACCCUAGCCCCAAAACCUAAUACCCGGGUAUUACUUUCAGGAGCCCGAAAACCCCCAAUAAUAUUUUUUUCAUUUUUCUUUUUUUUUGGUCUAACUAACUCCAAAAGGUUGGAAAAGAGUUCCUACAAAGGUUUUGGACAGUGAUUUUAACCCUAACGCCAAAAACCUUAAACCUUACCCUAGCCUUAAAAUCUAAUACCCAGGUAUUACCUUCAGGAAGCCUGAACACCCCAAAUAUUUUUUUCUUCAUUUUACAUUUUUGUUGGUGUAACCAACUCCAAAAGGUUGGAAAAGAGUUCCUACAAAGGUUUUGGACAGUGAUUUUAACCCUAAUGCCAAAAAACUUAAACCUUUCCCUAGCCUUAAAAUCUAAUACCCAGGUAUUACUUUUAGGAAGCCUGAACACCCCAAAUAUUUUUUUCUUCAUUUUACAUUUUUGUUGGUGUAACCAACUCCAAAAGGUUGGAAAAGAGUUCCUACAAAGGUUUUGGACAGUGAUUUUAACCCUAACGCCAAAAAACUUAAACCUUACCCUAGCCUUAAAAUCUAAUACCCAGGUAUUACUUUUAGGAAGCCUGAACACCCCAAAUAUUUUUUUUUCAUUUUUUUUUUUUUUUGGUCUAACUAACUCCAAAAGGUUGGAAAAGAGUUCCUACAAAGGUUUUGGACAGUGAUUUUAACCCUAACGCCAAAAACUUAAACCUUACCCUAGCCCCAAAACCUAAUACCCGGGUAUUACUUUCAGGAAGCCUGAACACCCCAAAUAUUUUUUUUUUCAUUUUUCAUUUUUUUUGGUCUAACUAACUCCAAAAGGUUGGAAAAGAGUUCCUACAAAGGUUUUGGACAGUGAUUUUAACCCUAACGCCAAAAACCUUAAACCUUACCAUAGCCCCAUAACCUAAUACCCGGGUAUUACUUUUAGGAAGCCUGAACACCCCAAAUAUUUUUUUUUCAUUUUUCUUUUUUUUGGUCUAACUAACUCCAAAAGGUUGGAAAAGAGUUCCUACAAAGGUUUUGGACAGUGAUUUUAACCCUAACGCCAAAAAACUUAAACCUUACCAUAGCCCCAUAACCUAAUACCUGGGUAUUACUUUUAGGAAGCCUGAACACCCCAAAUAUUUUUUUUUUCAUUUUACAUUUUUUUUGGUCUAACUAACUCCAAAAGGUUGGAAAAGAGUUCCUACAAAGGUUUUGGACAGUGAUUUUAACCCUAACGCCAAAAACUUAAACCUUACCCUAGCCUUAAAAUCUAAUACCCGGGUAUUACUUUCAGGAAGCCCGAACACCCCAAAUAUUUUUUUUUCAUUUUUUUUUUUUUUGGUCUAACUAACUCCAAAAGGUUGGAAAAGAGUUCCUACAAAGGUUUUGGACAGUGAUUUUAACCCUAACGCCAAAAACCUUAAACCUUACCAUAGCCCCAUAACCUAAUACCCGGGUAUUACUUUUAGGAAGCCUGAACACCCCAAAUAUUUUUUUUUCAUUUUUCUUUUUUUUUUGGUCUAACUAACUCCAAAAGGUUGGAAAAGAGUUCCUACAAAGGUUUUGGACAGUGAUUUUAACCCUAACGCCAAAAACCUUAAACCUUUCCCCAGUCACAAAACCUAAUACCCGGGUAUUACUUUUAGGAAGCCUGAACACCCCAAAUAUUUUUUUCUUCAUUUUUCUUUUUUUUUUGGUCUAACUAACUCCAAAAGGUUGGAAAAGAGUUCCUACAAAGGUUUUGGACAGUGAUUUUAACCCUAACGCCAAAAACCUUAAACCUUUCCCCAGUCACAAAACCUAAUACCCGGGUAUUACUUUCAGGGAGCCCGAAAACCCCCAAUAAUAUUUUUUUCAUUUUUCUUUUUUUUUUGGUCUAACUAACUCCAAAAGGUUGGAAAAGAGUUCCUACAAAGGUUUUGGACAGUGAUUUUAACCCUAACGCCAAAAACCUUAAACCUUACCCUAGCCUUAAAAUCUAAUACCCAGGUAUUACCUUCAGGAAGCCUGAACACCCCAAAUAUUUUUUUUUCAUUUUUUUUUUUUUUUUGGUCUAACUAACUCCAAAAGGUUGGAAAAGAGUUCCUACAAAGGUUUUGGACAGUGAUUUUAACCCUAACGCCAAAAACCUUAAACCUUACCCUAGCCUUAAAAUCUAAUACCCAGGUAUUACUUUUAGGAAGCCUGAACACCCCAAAUAUUUUUUUUUCAUUUUUUUUUUUUUUGGUCUAACUAACUCCAAAAGGUUGGAAAAGAGUUCCUACAAAGGUUUUGGACAGUGAUUUUAACCCUAACGCCAAAAAACUUAAACCUUACCCUAGCCUUAAAAUCUAAUACCCAGGUAUUACUUUUAGGAAGCCUGAACACCCCAAAUAUUUUUUUUUCAUUUUUUUUUUUUUUUGGUCUAACUAACUCCAAAAGGUUGGAAAAGAGUUCCUACAAAGGUUUUGGACAGUGAUUUUAACCCUAACGCCAAAAAACUUAAACCUUACCAUAGCCCCAUAACCUAAUACCCGGGUAUUACUUUCAGGAAGCCUGAACACCCCAAAUAUUUUUUUUUCAUUUUUCUUUUUUUUGGUCUAACUAACUCCAAAAGGUUGGAAAAGAGUUCCUACAAAGGUUUUGGACAGUGAUUUUAACCCUAACGCCAAAAAACUUAAACCUUACCCUAGCCUUAAAAUCUAAUACCCGGGUAUUACUUUCAGGAAGCCCGAACACCCCAAAUAUUUUUUUUUCAUUUUUCUUUUUUUUUGGUCUAACUAACUCCAAAAGGUUGGAAAAGAGUUCCUACAAAGGUUUUGGACAGUGAUUUUAACCCUAACGCCAAAAACCUUAAACCUUACCAUAGCCCCAUAACCUAAUACCCGGGUAUUACCUUCAGGAAGCCUGAACACCCCAAAUAUUUUUUUUUCAUUUUUCUUUUUUUUUUUUUUGGUCAAACUAACUCCAAAAGGUUGGAAAAGAGUUCCUACAAAGGUUUUGGACAGUGAUUUUAACCCUAACGCCAAAAACCUUACACCUUACCCUAGCCUUAAAAUAUAAUACCCGGGUAUUACCUUCAGGAAGCCUGAACACCCUAAAUAUUUUUUUCUUCAUUUUACAUUUUUGUUGGUGUAACCAACUCCAAAAGGUUGGAAAAGAGUUCCUACAAAGGUUUUGGACAGUGAUUUUAACCCUAACGCCAAAAACCUUAAACCUUACCCUAGCCCUAAACUAAUACCCGGGUAUUACUUCAGGAAGCCUGAACACCCCAAAUAUUUUUUUUUCAUUUUUCUUUUUUUUUUGGUCUAACUAACUCCAAAAGGUUGGAAAAGAGUUCCUACAAAGGUUUUGGACAGUGAUUUUAACCCUAACGCCAAAAACCUUAAACCUUACCCUAGCCCCAAAACCUAAUACCCGGGUAUUACUUUCAGGAAGCCUGAACACCCCAAAUAUUUUUUUUUCAUUUUUCUUUUUUUUUGGUCUAACUAACUCCAAAAGGUUGGAAAAAGAGUUCCUACAAAGGUUUUGGACAGUGAUUUUAACCCUAACGCCAAAAACCUUAAACCUUACCCU
Non-coding RNA from Xyrichtys novacula (pearly razorfish), 7314 nucleotides. NCBI's taxonomy places the organism in Eukaryota, Metazoa, Chordata, Actinopteri, Labriformes, Labridae. The record is from the annotation of a GenBank genome assembly.